This 500-nucleotide ribosomal RNA is filed under the name uncultured bacterium. RNAcentral's name for it is "partial 16S ribosomal RNA". It matches the Rfam family "Bacterial small subunit ribosomal RNA", at positions 29 to 523 of the family's 1533-position model. The record is from RNAcentral.
AUUGAACGCUGGCGGAAUGCUUUACACAUGCAAGUCGAACGGCAGCACGGGGGCAACCCUGGUGGCGAGUGGCGAACGGGUGAGUAAUACAUCGGAACGUGCCCAGUCGUGGGGGAUAACGUAGCGAAAGUUACGCUAAUACCGCAUACGAUCUACGGAUGAAAGCGGGGGACCGUAAGGCCUCGCGCGAUUGGAGCGGCCGGUGUCAGAUUAGGUAGUUGGUGAGGUAAAGGCUCACCAAGCCGACGAUCUGUAGCGGGUCUGAGAGGCCGACCAGCCACACUGGGACGGAGACACGGCCCAGACUCCUACGGGAGGCAGCAGUGGGGAAUUUUGGACAAUGGGCGCAAGCCUGAUCCAGCCAUUCCGCGUGCAGGACGAAGGCCUUCGGGUUGUAAACUGCUUUUGUACGGAACGAAAAGGCUCUGGUUAAUACCUGGGGCUCAUGACGGUACCGUAAGAAUAAGCACCGGCUAACUACGUGCCAGCAGCCGCAGUAA